CGGUCCCCGGGCCCGCCUCUCUCCCGGCGGCCGGGUUGGACCACCCCAUGAGAAUCUUAGGGUUGGGCCACCCCAUGAGAAUCUUAGGCGGCGGGGGCUCGGCCCUCAGGUCGAGCAACCCGGCACAAGGGCAGGGCAGCCUGGGACCCCCCCACUCUGCCCCAUCCUGCUGCUGGGGACCUGCGGGAGCUGCCUUACCGUUUCACUGAGGAGCGUGAGCCACCACUGACUUGGAUAACGGCAGCCCCACCUUCUCUAUGAAGCAGGUUGAGUGGAGGCGAGGCCCACGCUGAACCAGUGCAGGAAGGAUUGCAGUGAAAAACCCCUCACCCAGGUCAGCUGACCCUCCUUGACUAUAAUGGAUGCUCCAGCCUCAAUCCCCCUGGGUGCCAGAGCCAGAGACUCAUAGGGGCUGGGCGACCCUUGGCACCCUACCAUUUCUCUCUCCACCACCCCCAGAGGGACGCUGCUCAGACCCACUCCUCACCAGAUCGCUUCUGUGCUGGUGCCUGAGGCCCCUGGCAGUGUGAGGGCUGCCCCCCUGCCAAGCCACUCAUCUGCUGCUCAGAACAGCUGUACGAUGGCUGCUUCCUGAAGGAGUGCUUCUCUCUGACUCAGGGUCACCAGCCCCUGCCGUGGACGCCUCAUGCCUCCUUCUGAGGCAGGUGGCUCGUUCAAGGCCCAGUUCCAGAGGCUACCUCCCUGUAAGCCCUUGAUGAAGCCCUGGGUGGCGGGGGGGGGGGGGUUCCAGGCUGUCUCUGUCUUGUUUUCUGAAUGACUGUUCAGCCCCAGCACCCUCUGUGUGUCUGCUCUGAAGGGACCAAUAAAUGCUGAUCUAAUGAAGGAAGAAAUGAACAAA
Molecule: long non-coding RNA, 859 nt
Organism: Orcinus orca (killer whale)
Lineage: Eukaryota; Metazoa; Chordata; Mammalia; Artiodactyla; Delphinidae
Exons: 3
Source: RefSeq, a predicted model, not a curated record